UCCGGUUUGUCACCGGCAGUCAUUCUAGAGUGCCCACCCGAAGUGCUGGCAACUAAAAUCAAGGGUUGCGCUCGUUGCGGGACUUAACCCAACAUCUCACGACACGAGCUGACGACAACCAUGCACCACCUGUCUCCUCUGUCCCGAAGGCCUGGCCUAUCUCUAGGCCAUUCAAAGGGAUGUCAAGACCUGGUAAGGUUCUUCGCGUUGCUUCGAAUUAAACCACAUACUCCACUGCUUGUGCGGGUCCCCGUCAAUUCCUUUGAGUUUCAGUCUUGCGACCGUACUCCCCAGGCGGAGUGCUUAUUGUGUUGACUUCGGCACCAAGGGUAUCGAAACCCCUGACACCUAGCACUCAUCGUUUACGGCGUGGACUAC
Molecule: unclassified non-coding RNA, 378 nt
Filed under: uncultured Paenibacillaceae bacterium
Lineage: Bacteria; Bacillati; Bacillota; Bacilli; Caryophanales; Paenibacillaceae
Description: contains 16S-23S intergenic spacer region
Source: RNAcentral